CCUACGGGUGGCAGCAGUGGGGGAUAUUGCACAAUGGGGGAAACCCUGAUGGAGCAACGCCGCGUGCAGGAUGAAUGCCUUCGGGUUGUAAACUGCUUUUAUAAUCGAGAAAUAUGAUGGUAACUUAUGAAUAAGGAUCGUCUAACUACGUGCCAGCAGCCGCGGUCAUACGUAGGAUCCGAGCAUUAUCCGGAGUGACUGGGUGUAAAGAGUUGCGUAGGUGGCAUAGUAAGUAGCUAGUGAAAUCUGGUGGCUCAACCAUUCAGACUAUUAGCUAAACUGCUAAGCUCGAGACCGUUAGGGGUAACUGGAAUUUCUAGUGUAGGAGUGAAAUCCGUAGAUAUUAGAAGGAACACCGAUAGCGUAGGCAGGUUACUGGGACGGUUCUGACACUAAGGCACGAAAGCGUAGGGAGCAAACGGGAUUAGAUACCCUGGUAGUC
This 442-nucleotide ribosomal RNA is filed under the name uncultured bacterium. RNAcentral's name for it is "partial 16S ribosomal RNA". It matches the Rfam family "Bacterial small subunit ribosomal RNA", at positions 338 to 795 of the family's 1533-position model. The record is from RNAcentral.